CUGCCCUAAAUUGUGGGCAACGGAACGGUUCAAGUAUACACAUGAGUGACAUUCACUUGAGAAAAGGGAAGUAACACACUCACACGCAAGUGGGAGGAGUGGAGAAGGAGGACGAGGGACUGCAGAGCUGAAUCCCUCAAUAGGCAAUAGAGCUCAUCUUGUGUAAAAGGCGCUGGAAGCAUGAUAGAACACAAGGGCGGGUGUUCCACUACCCACAAAUGUCCCCAGACUUGGUCAGCUACAAACAUGACAUUUGCCCAUGUUUUUCUCUCCAGGUUUUUGAGCUACCAUCAGAUGUGGAACGCACAUGGUCCCCAUCAAACCUUUGGAUAACUACAGGUGCCACAGCAGGACUUUGGACAGAAAGAAAAAGAAAGGAAGACUGCUUCAUUCUGCACUCAAAGUCCAUCAGUUUUCCGUCUUUAGGUGGGAGGCAAUUUUCAACGUGGGUCCUUUGGAAUUGUCUCGGAUCAUCUGAUAAAAGCACUACAGAACCGAAGCAAACUUAGAGCUGUGUCCAAAUCUCAAAAGUCUCAAACAUCGUAUCAGAUAAAAUAAUAAAUAAAUGUCCUGAAACUAUCAAUAUAGCCCUAAUGAAAUCAAAUAUACUUAACAAAAUAGGAGCUUUCGGACAACUCUUUAACAACCGAGUUUCUAACCAUAUCUAGAUUGCAAGUCUUUUUCCCUCCUAAGAGUAAUGGCAUUCAUUACUAAGUUUCACAGUAGAAGCGUGCACUUAUAGCAAAGGUGUAUGGGGUGGACCAGCACUCCAGCUGAGGACUUGCUGAGUUCUUUUCAAGGCUGCUCCUCUAGCUCUGUCUACCUGCCACAUAACUUUCACCUGUGAGUCCCAGAAGCUAUGGUACCUGCAUCGGCCAAAGGCCAGUAAAUCAGCUCUGAAGAGAGGCUAAAUAAACCAAAGUAAGGGUAACUGAAGGGCCUCAAGCCUGUCGGUGAGUUGGGGGAGGGGUGUCUAGCCCACGCACACGAAGACAGCUGCAGAGGCCCCUUAGAUCUUGGUCAGACAUCAGAUCUGCCAGGGUCAUCCACUGCAUCCCAGCCAUGACCUGCCGGGCAUCUUGACUUGUGUCCUGCAACUGACUUUGAAGACUCAGGAAGAGAGAGAGGCUGGCAACUUUGUGCACAUCUGUCCGACUGAAAUCUAAUUCACUUCCGAGCCAUCACCCCAUGAUUGGUCCGCUUCAAAAAUAAGAGACGAAAAACAAGAUGAACAGCGUUAGGGAGCGCUACGAAGCUUUGCCAGUUUAGGCCCCAACUGCAAUGACUGCGUGAACUCGGGUGGGUUGGGCCAGUAUUAAGAGCCAUUGUUGUUAAGUUUCUGAUUCGGAUCCUAGGUUGAGGAUCGGUUGGGUCGGGCAGAGAGCUCUGUGCGAUUGGGUCCGAGGCUGGCAGGGGCCGCGGAGACAACGCGCGCCGCGGCUGUUCUACACCGGCUACGCUAGAGACACCUGGCGAGCCCAGCAGCGCGCAGCGCCUGACGACGAGACGAGGGAGGCCCCGCGCGAAGGGCUCUCAGCCGGGACCCCCGACGCGCCCCGACCACAUCAGAGCAGGCAGUUUAAGGCUUUGUAAGCACUGGGGUCUCCGCGGCGCCUCGGACCGAGCUUGGGGCCGGACCCUGAGGCCUCGAGCUGCCGGUGCUCCGAGAGCCGCGCGGGCCGCCUUCGGGAGCGCAAUGACCUCAAGCUGCGCGCGGGGCCGGCUUUCACAGGCGCUUCUCAGAGCCCAACUGCCCCGAAAGGCGCAUCUCGUUUGUGUCCUCGGGGAUUCCUGGACGCCGUCUUUUAGCCCAAGAGUCACACGAAAAAGGCGGAUACUUUUGCUAAGCACAUUUCUAGCCGGAUUAAGGGAAGCGCCGCCUCCAUGCGAAUUACAGAGAAACCGAGAUCGCGCAAUUACAGAUUUCCCGUUGCAGCCCCGGCCAGGAGUCAAUUUCUCAUCCACAGUUGCAGAGCCCCAGCAUCCGAUCUCUUGGCGCCCUCUGGUGGCCAUCUUGGGAAAAGCCACAGAAGUGACCCACUCCCAGCCCCAGCCCCUGCUCAGGAAACUCCAGGGUUCCCUGUUACUGUCCUCAAGGAGCUCCUUUCUCACUGCCAGGCUCUCUUCCAUCCGCCCUGGCUUCUGACCAUUUCUCCAGCAAAACUCUCCCUCUCUGGCUGCUCCAGGCCCGGGACACUCUCUCUCCUCAUCUCAAUCUGGUGGUCUCCUGGCUUAAAUUCCUGCCUUCCUCAGGAAGCCUUUCCCAAGCCCGGUUCGUUUUAGGGCCUUUCCCCCAUUACUUCCCGCCCCUAACUGUCUGCAUGGGGGCGCCCUCGUGAAACAGGGCGCUCCUUGUCCUUUGCCUAGAGCCUGGCACAUAGUAGGUCUUACUAAAUUCUAGGUUACCUAAUGGACCCCCUCCCAGUACGAGUUACCUUUAAGAGCCAACUCACAACCCAGGAGGAAAUCCUAUGACUUUUCUGGUGGGAUUUUCCGAGAACCUGCUGUCUGGCGGCCCUCCCGCUCUGUCCUCCUUAUUUAUAGCCACCCUUCCUGUGGGUGCUGCUCAGCCGUUCUACUCCCCCCAGGUCCUUUCCAACACACAUCCUUGUCCUUCAGGUGCUUUCUUCUGCUUCUUCCCCUGCCCGCCUCGGCUGCCAACCCUUCCAGCUGCCUCUUGGAUUGAGUUGCUUCUCCUUUAUGGGCUCCUUCCUUCCCAACUCACAUCCCCACCCCUUAAAGAAAAGCAGCACUUUCUACACUAGCAAGCAAAUGCUAACAAAGUUAACAUCUUCCCAUGAAUUAGCAAAUGAUUAAAUUAGCUACAGGCCAGAAAUAUUUUUUUUUAUUUUUAUUUUUUUUAAUUUUUUUUAUUUAAUAGCCUUUUAUUUACAGGAUAUAUACAUGGGUAACUUUACAGCAUUAACAAUUGCCAAACCUCUUGUUCCAAUUUUUCACCUCUUACCCCUCCACCCCCUCCCCUAAAUGGCAGGAUGACCAGUAGAUGUUAAAUAUAUUAAAAUAUAACUUAGAUACACAAUAAGUAUACAUGACCAAAACAUUAUUUUGCUGUACAAAAAGAAUCAGACUCUGAAUUAUUGUACAAUUAGCUUGUGAAGGAAAUCAAAGAUGCAGGUGUGCAUAAAUAUAGGGAUUGGGAAUUCAAUGUAAGGGUUUUUAGUCAUCUCCCAGAGUUCUUUUUCUGGGUAUAGCUAGUUCAGUUCAUUACUGCUCCAUUAGAAAUGAUUUGGUUGAUCUUGUUGCUGAGGAUGGCCUGAUCCAUCAGGACUAGUCAUCAUCUAGUAUUGUUGUUGAAGUAUAUAAUGAUCUCCUGGUCCUGCUCAUUUCACUCAGCAUCAGUUCGUGUAAGUCUCUCCAGGCCUUUCUGAAAUCAUCCUGUUGGUCAUUUCUUACAGAACAGUAAUAUUCCAUAAUUUUCAUAUACCACAAUUUAUUCAGCCAUUCUCCAACUGAUGGACAUCCAUUCAGUUUCCAGUUUCUAGCCACUACAAAAAGGGCUGCCACAAACAUUCGUGCACAUACAGGUCCCUUUCCCUUCUUUAUAAUCUCUUUGGGAUAUAAUCCCAGUAGUAACACUGUACAGGCCAGAAAUAUAAUGGAAUAUUUUACUGUGCUCUAAGGGUGCCAUAAAUAUAAUGAACUCAAACUGGGGAAUACUAAUAAAUAUGUAACAACUGGGGAAGGGGGAGGGAUUUUGCCUACCAUAUACUUGUAAUGUAUCAACACUUUCUUAAUAGUCAAUAGCCAAUAGCACUUCCUAUGUGCCUAGCUGCUAAGCCCUGGGAUACAAACAGUUCCUGCCCUCAAAAAGGCUACAAUCUAAUAGUAGAAAUAUGUAACAAAGUAAAUGGGAAGAAUACCACAAAUCUAAAUGACCAGGCUUGGUCCUAAAGAAGAGUCAAGGGAAGUAAUUAAAGAAAUGCAACUUAGGUUGCCCUAGAACUCAUCCUAUUCCCUUUUUUUCUUUCCACCAGCUUCCCCAAUAUUACACAUGCCUUCACCCCUCCCCCCAGAAGUGGGGACCACAGAGCCCAGUAGACCCCACCAGCCCCAUUCUAUGGUUAUAAAAAAAAUGGUGAAAGAAAUGACUUAAAAUAAUAUUUGGGGCAUGAAACCUAAUGCCUCCCAGGAAGAACUAAAAAAGGCAAAGAGGAAACUAACCUUGAAAUACCAUCUAGAUAAGUAUCUAAAUGAAGGAGAAAAAUUGAAAUACUAUCUUAAACUUACAAAGUGCUUUGUGAUGAGAAGAAAAGAGACUAAUGGGACACAGGUGGAAAACAAGCCAUCAGACUGUAAUUCCAGCUGUGGUUUUGGUUCUCCCAUGUUUUUUAGAGAAUAAAGAAAAACAGAGAAAAUGAGGCCAAAAGGUUGCCCAUCCACUGUAGAUGAGUUUAAAAGAGUUCUCUUUAAUGGUGCAACAAGAAAACUGACUUUGCAAAAGAAUGUCAUUUGUGAAUGACUUUGUGUAGUUCGGAUGUUCCAGGUGCUAGGAUGCAAAAAAGAAUUCUCAGGUAGGAUCUGGAAUGCUUCACUAAUUCAACCAGUUAGGGUGGAAUGCUAAGGGCAAGGGGAAAGAAUCCACCUUAAAGAUAGAUGUAGAAGCUGUGACAGAAGUACAUUCUAUAAAUAUAUAUUUAUGUGUGUAUUAUAUACCACUAUACAUGAUAAUAUACAUAUGAAUAUAUAUAAUAUACCUAUAUAUAUGACUCAGCUCUUCUCAGCAACACAAUGAUCCAAGUCAAAAACAAAGGAUUCAUGAUGGAAAAUUCAAUCCAUAACGAGAUAAAGAACUGAUGAAUUUGGAAUUCACAUCAAAGCAUAUUUUUUUCAUUCGCUUUAUUUUUCCUUGUUGUUUUUUUUUUUUUCUUUUCAUUUGUUUCUUCUUUCACAACUGUAGAGGUCGGAACUGUGGAGAAGUAUACUUGAAACAAGGUGUUAACUCAGUGGAAUUGAUGAGAUGAUGAUUCUCUAGUUCCCACAUAUACUUAAUAUGGUGAUGUAACGGUUCUCUAAGUUCACACAUAAUCAGUAUGCUGUAAUGAUAUAAUUACAAUAAGGUAUAUAAGGGCCAACAAGGACUGGAAGAGAGACUAUCCUCGUAAUGGCUCUCCUGCCUCCUGCACUGUAGGGGAGACUGGUUCAGACUGGGAGACUGAAAGAAACAAUAAAGACUUUGGACUUUAUUCCUGACUAUUCUCAUGGUGAUUAUUCUGCUGACCAAGGUUGGUCCCAAGGCCCUCCAGAAAGCUAGUCCGGACAUUACACACAAUGGUCAUUAAUAUGGAAAUAUGAUUUACAUGAUAAUACAUGUAUAAACUACAUCAAAUUAUCUAUCAUGUUCAAAAAAAGGGGAAAGGAGAAAGGGAGAGAGAAACAUUUGGAACUCAAAACCUUGUGAAAAUAAAUACUAAAAUAUUUUUUGACAUGUAACUAGGGGGAAAAUACUGUUUUUUUUAAAAAAGCCAGGGCAGCUAGAUGGCAUAGUGGAUAGAGUACCAGUCAGGAGGACCUGAGUUCAAAUUUGGCCUCAGAUAUUUAACACUUCCUAGCUGUGUGACCCUGGGCAAGUCACUUAACCCCAAUUGUCUCAGCAAAAAAAAAAAAAAAAAAAAAAAAAAAAAAAAAAAAAAAAAAAAAAAAAAAAAAAAGCCAUAACAGAAAAAAAUUACGGGAGAUAAAAAGAUUCUGGAAGUUCAUAUUGACAAGGGCAUGAAAGAUAAGAUGAUUAAAUUUCAUGGUGAAAGGGACCAGGAGCCAGGAGAUACUAUCGUUAUUUUUUUUUUUAUCAGAAGCACAAUGCUGUCUUUAAAGGACAAGAUGUGUGCAUGGAUACCUACUUGGUUAAAAUAUUGUGUAGCUCACCUGUCAGAUUGGCUAAGAUGACAGGAAAAAAUAAUGAUGAUUGUUGGAGGGAAUGCGGGAAAACUGGGUCAUUGAUGCAUUGUUGGUGGAGUUGUGAACGAAUCCAACCAUUUUGAAGAGUAGUUUGGAACUAUGCUCAAAAAGUUAUCAAACUGUGCAUCCCCUUUGAUCCAGCAGUGUUACUACUGGGCUUAUAUCCCAAAGAGAUCAUAAAGAAGGGAAAGGGACCUGUAUGUGCACGAAUGUUUGUGGCAGCCCUUUUUGUAGUGGCUAAAAACUGGAAACUGAAUGGAUGUCCAUCAGUUGGAGAAUGGCUGAAUAAAUUGUGGUAUAUGAAUAUUAUGGAAUAUUACUGUUCUGUAAGAAAUGACCAACAGGAUGAUUUCAGAAAGGCCUGGAGAGACUUACACAAACUGAUGCUGAGUGAAAUGAGCAGGACCAGGAGAUCAUUAUAUACUUCAACAACAAUACUAUAUGAUGACCAGUUCUGAUGGACCAGGCCAUCCUCAGCAACGAGAUCGACCAAAUCAUUUCCAAUGGAGCAGUAAUGAACUGAACCAGCUACGCCCAGAAAAAGACCUCUGGGAGAUGACUAAAAACCAUUACAUUGAAUUCCCAAUCCCUAGAUUUAUGCCCACCUGCAUUUUUGAUUUCCUUCACAAGCUAAUUGUACAAUAUUUCAGAGUCUGAUUCUUUUUGUACAGCAAAAUAACGUUUUGGUCAUGUAUACUUAUUGUGUAUCUAAUUUAUAUUUUAAUAUAUUUAACAGCUACUGGUCAUCCUGCCAUCUAGGGGAGGGGGUGGAGGGGUAAGAGGUAAAAAAUUGGAACAAGAGGUUUGGCAAUUGUUAAUGCUGUAAAGUUACCCAUGCAUAUAUCCUGUAAAUAAAAGGCUAUUAAAUAAAAAUAAAAAAAAAUAUUGUGUAGCUUUCAGAAACCUUACCAGUUCUUGACAGUAGAACCAUAGUCAUUACUUGUCAUCAAAGAUGGAGAUAUCAAUUGUGGCUAAAUGAAGACAAGCCAGUUUAUUACCAACCUUAGAAGAAAGGGAUUCUAAUCAUCAAAUAAACUUCCAAGAGAAUGGCUUUCUUUCAUCAGAUAAGCCAUUUUUGUUGGAAAAGUUACUGCCCGGAAGAAGGGAAAUAGAGAAGACUGAAAAACAGAUCAAGUUGAACUGGUAGACUUUGACCCAUCCCAAGAAGAAGCUUCUGUUUACAAUGGAGAAGUUUGGGAAGAGGAUGAUAGUGAUAGUGAUACAAAAGCAGUGAUAAAUGAGUGAAAAAGACAACCAUUUUAAUACAUUCUGCUAGCUAUUGUGUUGUUGUAUUCAAUAACACUUGCUUUUUUAAAAUUAACUAAUAAAAUCAUUUAAUAUAUAAAAUGCUGACUUUCCAGUUUAUGAUAUUCAGUGCAAGAGAGUUCCACAUCAUUAAUUGUGUCCUUGUGGUAAAGCAGCUCCCAAACACUGUUUUCAGGAUCUGUGUAUGUGCAGUGGUUUAAUUCUUGAUUGACUAAAAGUGUACAAGCAUUUAUAAUUGUUAAGCAUUGAAAUAAAUUUUUAUACUGAAUUCAUCAUUAAAAAAAAAGAAAUGGCAGCUAGAGCAACUCUGACACUCUAUGUCACACCCAUCAACUUGACAAAGAUGAUGUAAGAGGACAAUUCUCCUUACUGAAGAAACUUAGGGCAUACAGAAUCAUUCUCAAUGAAGUUGUGACCGUCAUUCUGGCAAAAUGACUUGGGACUCCCAAAGAGAGUCUAUUCCCUCCCCUUAAAUCGUCACACUCUUUCUCUUACAAAACAAACCAUCUCCCAAUUCUAGGCAUCUGCACGGAACUCCUGCAUGGAAGGCUCUCCCUACUCAGCACAAAAAAGUUGGGAACAAAAAGUUCUUGUGCUCCCUUCAAAUCCCAGCUAAAAUCUUACCUUUGAUAGGAAGCUGCUCAUAAGCCCCGUUAAUUCUAGCCCCUUCUCUCUGCUCUUUCUUAUUUCUCUUGUGAAUAGUGGGUUUGUACAUAGUUGUCUAUGCAUUGUCUCCCCCGUUAGAUUGUGAGCUUCCUGUAAACUCUUUUUUGUAUCCUUAGAACUUAGCACACAGUCUGGCAGCUAAUAGGUGCUUAAUAAAUGUUUACUCGCUGACUGGCCACUAGCUGUGAGGAUCUCACAGGCCUGGAUGAUCUAGUGA
Sarcophilus harrisii (Tasmanian devil) is the source of this 8065-nucleotide long non-coding RNA. The record is from Ensembl. NCBI's taxonomy places the organism in Eukaryota, Metazoa, Chordata, Mammalia, Dasyuromorphia, Dasyuridae.